Molecule: transfer RNA, 57 nt
Filed under: Bos taurus (domestic cattle)
Lineage: Eukaryota; Metazoa; Chordata; Mammalia; Artiodactyla; Bovidae
Also listed under: 5 other names
Rfam family: tRNA
About the family: Transfer RNA (tRNA) molecules are approximately 80 nucleotides in length. Their secondary structure includes four short double-helical elements and three loops (D, anti-codon, and T loops).
Source: Rfam by way of RNAcentral
UAGCUCAAAUGGUAAAGGAUCUGCCUGCAAUGCAGGAGACCCAGGUUCGAACCCUGG